RNAcentral lists this ribosomal RNA (468 nucleotides) under uncultured bacterium. RNAcentral describes it as "partial 16S ribosomal RNA". It matches the Rfam family "Bacterial small subunit ribosomal RNA", at positions 28 to 507 of the family's 1533-position model. The record is from RNAcentral.
GACGAACGCUGGCGGCGUGCUUAACACAUGCAAGUCGAACGGAAAGGCCCUGCUUUUGUGUGGUGCUCGAGUGGCGAACGGGUGAGUAACACGUGAGUAACCUGCCCUUGACUUUGGGAUAACUUCAGGAAACUGGGGCUAAUACCGGAUAGGAGCUCCUGCUGCAUGGUGGGGGUUGGAAAGUUUCGGCGGUUGGGGCUGGACUCGCGGCUUAUCAGCUUGUUGGUGGGGUAGUGGCUUACCAAGGCUUUGACGGGUAGCCGGCCUGAGAGGGUGACCGGCCACAUUGGGACUGAGAUACGGCCCAGACUCCUACGGGAGGCAGCAGGGGGGAAUAUUGCACGAUGGGCGGAAGCCUGAUGCAGCAACGCCGCGUGCGGGAUGACGGCCUUCGGGUUGUAAACCGCUUUCGCCUGUGACGAAGCGUGAGUGACGGUAAUGGGUAAAGAAGCACCGGCUAACUACGUG